UACACUCAAAUUUCUCCUUUUUGCUAACUCAGCUCGUAGACUCCUAUUUUCAUUCGCAAGCUUCUCAGCUCUUAAAGCCAUUUGCACCAACUCUUUAGCUACGAUUGCGUCCGAUUCACCCAUAAAAGAAGUUCAACCAUGUUGCCUAGCAUCUUUAAACUCCUUAGAAUUAGAAACAUCCAGCACUAGUGGUGGGACAGGAGGUGGAGGUGGUGGUACUGAAG
RNAcentral lists this long non-coding RNA (224 nucleotides) under Theobroma cacao (cacao). Its description in RNAcentral is "long non-coding RNA (TCAC_LNC003117)". The record is from RNAcentral. Lineage: Eukaryota; Viridiplantae; Streptophyta; Magnoliopsida; Malvales; Malvaceae.